Molecule: ribosomal RNA, 462 nt
Filed under: uncultured bacterium
Lineage: Bacteria
Description: partial 16S ribosomal RNA
Rfam family: Bacterial small subunit ribosomal RNA
Source: RNAcentral
AUGAACGCUGACAGAAUGCUUCACACAUGCCAGUCUUUGGCGAAGCUGUGCUUGCACAGCCUAGCCAAGGCGGACGGGUGAGUAACGCGUAAGGAACUUGCCCUGCAGUCAGGGAUAACAGACGGAAACGACUGAUAAGACCUGGUAAAGUCAGGCGGACUCAUGUCCAGCCUGAUGAAAAGAGAUGCUGCAGGAGAGCCUUGCGUCCUAUUAGCUUGUUGGUGGGGUAACGGCCCACCAAGGCGAUGAUAGGUAGCCGGCCUGAGAGGGUGGACGGCCACAAGGGGACUGAGAUACGGCCCUUACUCCUACGGGAGGCAGCAGUGGGGAAUAUUGGACAAUGGGGGCAACCCUGAUCCAGCAAUUCUGUGUGCACGAUGAAGGUUUUCGGAUUGUAAAGUGCUUUCAGCAGGGAAGAAAAAAAUGACGGUACCUGCAGAAGAAGCGACGGCUAAAUACGUG